GGCCUACCAUGGUGGUAACGGGUAACGGGGUGUUAGGGCACGACACCGGAGAGGGAGCCUGAGAAACGGCUACCACAUCCAAGGAUGGCAGCAGGCGCGCAAAUUACCCAAUCCCGACACGGGGAGGUAGUGACAAUAAAUAACAAUACGGGGUUCUUUAGGAUCUCGUAAUUGGAAUGAGUACAAUUUAAAUCUCUUAACGAGGAACAAUUGGAGGACAAGUCUGGUGCCAGCAGCCGCGGUAAUUCCAGCUCCAAUAGCGUAUAUUAAAGUUGUUGCAGUUAAAAAGCUCGUAGUUGAAUUUCGGGGUUAGUAGGUUGGUCAUGCCUCUGGUAUGUACUGGUCUCACUGAUUCCUCCUUCCUUAUGAACCGUAAUGCCAUUAAUUUGGGGUUGCGGGGAAUUUGGACUGUUACUUUGAAAAAAUUAGAGUGUUUAAAGCAAGCUAACGCUUGAAUACAUUAGCAUGGAAUAAUGAAAUAGGACGUUCGAUCUUAUUUUGUUGGUUUCUAGGAUUGACGUAAUGAUUAAUAGGGAUAGUUGGGGGCAUUAGUAUUCAAUUGUCAGAGGUGAAAUUCUUGGAUUUAUUGAAGACUAACUACUGCGAAAGCUUUUGCCAAGGAUGUUUUCAUUAAUCAAGAACGAAAGUUAGGGGAUCGAAGACGAUCAGAUACCGUCGUAGUCUUAACCAUAAACUAUGCCGACUAGGGAUCGGAUGAUGUUAAUUUUUUAAUGACUCAUUCGGCGCCUUACG
This 753-nucleotide ribosomal RNA is filed under the name uncultured Glomus. Its description in RNAcentral is "SSU rRNA". It matches the Rfam family "Eukaryotic small subunit ribosomal RNA", at positions 338 to 1092 of the family's 1831-position model. Lineage: Eukaryota; Fungi; Glomeromycota; Glomeromycetes; Glomerales; Glomeraceae. The record is from RNAcentral.